RNA transcript from Pistacia vera, 1636 nucleotides. It is a transcript of the gene named probable magnesium transporter NIPA6, with no coding region annotated. The record is from RefSeq and is a predicted model, not a curated record. The transcript has 10 exons. NCBI's taxonomy places the organism in Eukaryota, Viridiplantae, Streptophyta, Magnoliopsida, Sapindales, Anacardiaceae.
UGGACAAAAAAUUCCCAGAAAAUAAAUAAAUAAAUAAAAAUACAAUUAAGAACUCAUCGCAACCUUCCUGCAAUCUCGAUCAAUGUCUCCAAGUAGUUAAUUUUUAUGCAAAACUUGAGUUCACUUCUUGAUGAAGCUAUUUAUUACUUGUUUCACUUGACAUGAACACAAUUUCACCAGCCAUCAAUGUGCAAUGGCUUAUGGCUCCCUCUUGGUUGACUUCAGAACCAACUCUCUCCACCUCUUCUACUUCCACUAAUAACUUCAAAGGGUUCAUUCUUGCAGUUGCCUCCGGUGUCUUUAUUGGUUCCAGCUUUAUCAUCAAGAAGAUUGGCCUCCAACGGGCUGGUGCUUCUGGUCCUCGUGCCAGUACUGGUGGAUAUGGCUAUCUGCUAGAACCACUUUGGUGGGUUGGAAUGGUCACUAUGAUUGUUGGGGAAUUUGCGAAUUUAGUGGCUUACAUUUAUGCUCCCGCCGUGCUUGUAACACCACUCGGAGCAUUGAGCAUAAUUGUCAGUGCUAUUUUAGCACACUUCUUCUUGAAUGAGAAAUUGCAGAAAAUGGGUCUUCUUGGAUGCGUUUUGUGCAUAGAAGGGUCUGUAUUGAUUGUGCUUCAUGCCCCUAGCGAUCAGAGUCUGAGUUCAGUGGAGCAAGUCUGGGAGUUGGCAACCCAACCAGCUUUUCUCUUGUAUGUGGCUUCGACAAUAGCUGUCGCAUUGGUACUGAUCUUGUAUUGUGAACCACGCUAUGGACAGACAAACAUAUUGGUUUACCUUGGCAUAUGUUCUGUAAUUGGGUCAUUAACGGUUAUGAGUAUUAAAGCCAUAGGAAUUGCAAUAGAACUCACACUUGAGGGUUCAAACCAAUUGGGACGCUUCCAAACGUGGAUAUUUCUUAUGGUUUCAGUUACGUGUAUAAUUAUUCAGUUGAAUUAUUUGAACAAGGCUUUGGACACAUUCAACACAGCAAUUGUUUCUCCAAUCUACUAUGCUCUAUUCACAUCGUUUACAAUCCUUGCUAGUGCGAUAAUGUUCAAGGAUUGGUCUGGCGAGAGUGCUAGCAGCAUUGCUUCUGCACUCUGUGGAUUCAUUACUGUGCUUUCGGGUACUGUGGUUUUGCAUAGUCAAAGAGAACCUGAUCUACUUCCUGUUACAGAUAUAUAUUCAUCUUUAUCCCCUCAAGUAUCGUGGCUUAUCAAAGCAAAUGGCAAAACAUGGAAGCAGGAAGUUGAUGAUGACCUAUUUCCAGAUUUUGACACAAUUCUUAAACAUGAUCAUUUCAAAUAAGAUGAAUGAUCUCUUGACACACCCAUAGGUUUUUUUUUUCUUUUUCUUUUUAACCUACUAAAAAGUGUACCCACAAGUGGAGAAAGCCAGCAGAUGUUAUUGUAUUUUCUCAAGGUUGAAUUAUCGAAGGCAUUGCUAGAGACUGUUUGAUUCCUCGGACAGCUUGAAGUUCAGUGGAUCAAAGGCCAAUGUUGGUCCAUCUGUUUUGUGUACACAAAUGAUUGACAUCGGUCACCAAUUAAGAAAAUGUAAGAAUAGUUGUGUUUUUGGCUCCUCUGUUUUAUAAUCUAAGCUUCUUGCUACUGCUGGUGUAAUUCUUCUAGUUUGGGCAUCUUUAUGACAUGCUUUAU